RNAcentral lists this ribosomal RNA (253 nucleotides) under uncultured bacterium. RNAcentral describes it as "partial 16S ribosomal RNA". It matches the Rfam family "Bacterial small subunit ribosomal RNA", at positions 524 to 776 of the family's 1533-position model. The record is from RNAcentral.
UACGUAGGGUGCAAGCGUUAAUCGGAAUUACUGGGCGUAAAGCGUGCGCAGGCGGCUUUGCAAGUCAGAUGUGAAAUCCCCGGGCUUAACCUGGGAACUGCAUUUGUGACUGCAUGGCUAGAGUGCGGCAGAGGGGGAUGGAAUUCCGCGUGUAGCAGUGAAAUGCGUAGAUAUGCGGAGGAACACCGAUGGCGAAGGCGAUCCCCUGGGCCGGCACUGACGCUCAUGCACGAAAGCGUGGGGAGCAAACAGG